RNAcentral lists this ribosomal RNA (387 nucleotides) under uncultured bacterium. Its description in RNAcentral is "bacterial SSU rRNA". It matches the Rfam family "Bacterial small subunit ribosomal RNA", at positions 335 to 713 of the family's 1533-position model. The record is from RNAcentral.
ACUCCUACGGGAGGCAGCAGUGGGGAAUAUUGCACAAUGGGCGCAAGCCUGAUGCAGCCAUGCCGCGUGUAUGAAGAAGGCCUUCGGUUGUAAGUACUUUCAGCAGUGAGGAAGGUGGGUAUGUUAAUAGCAUACUCAUUUUGACGUUUAGCUGCAGAAGAAGCACCGGCUAACUCCGUGCCAGCAGCCGCGGUAAUACGGAGGGUGCGAGCGUUAAUCGGAAUUACUGGGCGUAAAGCGCAUGCAGGUGGUUUGUUAAGUUCAGAUGUGAAAGCCCGGGGCUCAACCUCGGAAUUGCAUUUGAAACUGGCAAACUAGAGUACUGUAGAGGGGGUAGGAAUUUCAGGUGUAGCGGUGAAAUGCGUAGAGAUCUGAAGGAAUACCGGU